AGUUCACCUUCCGUUCUCCCCACAGGCGUGCAGAGUCCGCCAUGGAAGCACAUCCGGCUGCCGCCAAGGUCUCCGGGAGCCGCGGCCUCUGCUUCCCAGGGCGAUGAAAGACUAGAGGCGCCUGGCGUCCCGCCUGCCUCAGGCGCUCUGGCUAGCCAGGCGGUAAGGGGAUCGGGCAGGCUGGCGGGCGGUCCCGCGGUGCCCACCUUUGCGCCGCCCCGCCCCCUGGGGGCUCUGCCGAGAGGGCGCCAGCCGCCCAUGCUGCCCCGGCGCCCAGCCGCGCCCGGUGCCCGCCACUGAAGCUCAGGACGCACCGCCGCCCGCGCCCACCGCCGUCCGCGCCCGUCGACUUGAGCCGACCAUCCUCCUGCCCCCAAGAUGUGGCACAGCGUCGGGCUGACCCUGCUUGUGUUCGUGGCCACGCUGCUGAUCGUCCUGCUGCUGAUGGUGUGCGGUUGGUAUUUUGUAUGGCAUCUUUUUUUUAAUCAAAAUUCAAGUUUCUCUGGGAACUGGUGGGAGACACGGGAUCCGAAGAGGGAGAUCAUGAACCUUCAGGGUCUGAAACUGAAGAAGACACUUCCUCCUCUCCAUACAGAAUCAGAUCUACUCGCCAAAGGAGGGCACCUGCUGAUGAAGGCCACUCACCCCACACAUAGUUCUGUACUCCUGAAGGAUGAAAGGCAGUUGCCAGCUUCUGUCUCUUAGUGACUUGGCGUUGAAAUUUACUAAUGACUGAAGACAUUUGUAUUGGAUUUUAAGUAUGCCAUAUAAAAUGUAAGCCAUAUAAAAAUAAAGGGAAUUAAAACCAAAUUGGACUAUUAUAAAUUUCAUCUUAAGGAUAAUCUUUUGUUUCACUAGCUUUCUACUUAGACACUUAUUCCUUGGCUUUUGGGCUUAUUUUCUCACACUGGUGCAGAUCUGGUAAACAUCAAAGGCUUGAAAAACCAUAUUUUAUUAGCCCUAAAAUGUUCAUUUUUCUCCCCAGUUUAACUUGUCAGAAAUUGGGAUGCUUCUCAUUACUGUCAACCAGGUGAUAGUCAUGUAAUUCUCCUACCUUGUACAUGUGCAAAUUUACAGCUUGUCAACGUGUAAUCCCUUUAACCAACAUGUGUAUUGUUGGAAUCAAAUGUGUCAGAUUUAAUAGACAUUUUAAAAUAUCUUCAAAAAGAUUACCCUAUGAUUCAGCAAUGAAAAGUUAUUGUGUAUGCAGAAAAGCAUGGAAACAGAGCAGCGGGGCGUACAUUUGAUAUCAGUGACGCAAAUAUUCAUCACUGGAGAAAUGAUCGAAAUUCCAUAUCUUCCUGCAAAGCAACAACAAAAUGUUUUACAGGACCUAAGAAAGGUAGAUACCCACAAGUAGACGAAGCUGUACUACAUUUUAUUAGUGAGACACAUGCAAAAGGAUUGCCUAUCACAAACCAAGCAAUGCAAUUGAAGGCAGGAGAAAUUGGCAAAACCCUGGGAACUGAUGAAACAAAAUUCAGAGCGACGAGAGGUUUGUGUGACCGAUUCAUGCAUCCAGCAGGACGGUCGUUUAGGCAUCCAACAUCGUUUUGCCCCAAGCUCCCUGCUGCUAUUAAACAGAAGACAGUGUUGGAGCACUCUUUCAAGAAGUGCUGUAUAACCAGUACUCUUCACAAGCCUCAGGUGACGUUAUGGGAAAAAAUGGAGACUUCAAUGACUGUGGUUUGAAAAGUGAUUCAGAAGAGUUGGAUUCAGAAUAUGAAGUUAUAAUUAUUACUUAACCAAUUUGUUUCACACAUUUUUUUUACAUAUGUGCAAGAUCGAUACGAUAAAAAUCUGUUUAACUCAAA
RNA transcript from Callithrix jacchus (white-tufted-ear marmoset), 1814 nucleotides. It is a transcript of the gene named small integral membrane protein 13 pseudogene, with no coding region annotated. NCBI's taxonomy places the organism in Eukaryota, Metazoa, Chordata, Mammalia, Primates, Cebidae. The record is from RefSeq and is a predicted model, not a curated record.